CCCUCGAUUACAACCUCAGCAUUUAGUGGAACCCUUCCCCCUUCAUUACAGCCCCCAGGCAUUGCAAUGGCUAUGUCUUUUUGUGGACAUAUGAUGCCUCACUCGGCCGGCAUGGAUCGUCCAAUAUCUGAGCGUCCCGAUCUGGCGCAGAUCUUUGAUGCAAAUCGUAUAACACCCC
RNAcentral lists this ribosomal RNA (178 nucleotides) under Gloeochaete wittrockiana. Its description in RNAcentral is "partial Bacterial small subunit ribosomal RNA". The record is from RNAcentral. Lineage: Eukaryota; Glaucocystophyceae; Gloeochaetales; Gloeochaetaceae.